Molecule: small nuclear RNA, 182 nt
Filed under: Dermacentor silvarum
Lineage: Eukaryota; Metazoa; Arthropoda; Arachnida; Ixodida; Ixodidae
Description: U2 spliceosomal RNA
Rfam family: U2 spliceosomal RNA
About the family: U2 is a small nuclear RNA (snRNA) component of the spliceosome (involved in pre-mRNA splicing). Complementary binding between U2 snRNA (in an area lying towards the 5' end but 3' to hairpin I) and the branchpoint sequence (BPS) of the intron results the bulging out of an unpaired adenosine, on the BPS, which initiates a nucleophilic attack at the intronic 5' splice site, thus starting the first of two transesterification reactions that mediate splicing.
Source: RNAcentral
ACAUGACCGACGUGGGUCAAAGUGCAGUAUCUGUUCUUAUCAGCUUAAUAUCUGAUACGGGUUGUAUUUGGACCUAAGAUAUUCAACUUAUUUUUGCAAGUUGGCGGAGUGCUUGAAGCCUGGUUCACCUCCGCCACGGAUCGGCCCAGUAUUGCACUAUCUUCCACAUCAGCCCACCGUUU